This 253-nucleotide ribosomal RNA is filed under the name uncultured bacterium. Its description in RNAcentral is "partial 16S ribosomal RNA". It matches the Rfam family "Bacterial small subunit ribosomal RNA", at positions 524 to 776 of the family's 1533-position model. The record is from RNAcentral.
GACGUAGGGUCCGAGCGUUGUUCGGAAUCACUGGGCGUAAAGCGCACGUAGGCGGAUUUGUCAGUCAGGGGUGAAAUCCCGGGGCUCAACCUCGGAACUGCCUUUGAUACAGCAAGUCUUGAGUUCGAGAGAGGUGGGUGGAACUGCGAGUGUAGAGGUGAAAUUCGUAGAUAUUCGCAAGAACACCAGUGGCGAAGGCGGCUCACUGGCCCGAUACUGACGCUGAGGCACGAAAGCGUGGGGAGCAAACAGG